UCCGGUUGAUCCUGCCGGACCUGACUGCUAUCGGAUUGAUACUAAGCCAUGCGAGUCAUUGUAGCAAUACAAGGCAGACGGCUCAGUAACGCGUAGUCAACCUACCCUAUGGACGGGAAUAACCUCGGGAAACUGAGUAUAAUGCCCGAUAGAACACUAUACCUGGAAUGGUUUGUGUUUCAAAUGAUUUAUCGCCAUAGGAUGGGACUGCGGCCUAUCAGUUUGUUGGUGAGGUAAUGGCCCACCAAGACUAUUACAGGUACGGGCUCUGAGAGGAGUGGCCCGGAGAUGGGUACUGAGACACGGACCCAGGCCCUAUGGGGUGCAGCAGGCGAGAAAACUUUGCAAUGUGCGAAAGCACGACAAGGUUAAUCCGAGUGGUUUGUGCUAAACGAACCUUUUGUCAGUCCUAGAAACACUAACGAAUAAGGGGUGGGCAAGUUCUGGUGUCAGCCGCCGCGGUAAAACCAGCACCUCAAGUGGUCAGGAUGAUUAUUGGGCCUAAAGCAUCCGUAGCCGGCUCUGUAAGUUUUCGGUUAAAUCUGUACGCUUAACGUACAGGCUGCCGGGAAUACUGCAGAGCUAGGGAGUGGGAGAGGUAGACGGUACUCGGUAGGAAGGGGUAAAAUCCUUUGAUCUAUCGAU
This 645-nucleotide ribosomal RNA is filed under the name uncultured archaeon. Its description in RNAcentral is "bacterial SSU rRNA". It matches the Rfam family "Archaeal small subunit ribosomal RNA", at positions 1 to 654 of the family's 1478-position model. The record is from RNAcentral.